CUGGGCAGCCUCAGGGCAGAGCCCAGGACGCGCCUCCCACCAUGGCCUGGGUCCUCAUCUACAUGCUGUCGCUGCUGGUCAGCACGGGGCUCUGUGCUCGGCCUGUGCUGACCCAGUCCCCGUCUGCAUCCUCCUCCCUGGGAGGCUCGGCCACACUCACCUGCACCCUGAGCAGUGAGCAUAGCACGUACUUUAUUCAGUGGUAUCAGCAGAGUCCUGGGCAGGCCCCUCGGUAUCUGAUGAAGCUGACCAGUGACGGAAAAGUCACCAGAGGGGACGGGAUCCCCGACCGCUUCUCCGGCUCCAGCUCCAGGGGACCGCUACCUGACCAUCAGCAGCCUCCAGUCUGACGACGAGGCUGAUUACAUCUGUGGUGUCAGCUAUAAUGAUGGUGGCCAAAGUGGGUACCACAGUGACUCAGACAAAGGGGAACAGCAGGACCACGGUCCCCUCAGGACCCGCUUCCAGCAGGGCCCAGCCCUCUACUUGAUGACCUCGUCCCCACAGAGGACACCUGUGCGUCUCCAAGACACAGAGGGGACCCUGUGA
Dama dama (fallow deer) is the source of this 549-nucleotide non-coding RNA. The record is from the annotation of a RefSeq genome assembly. NCBI's taxonomy places the organism in Eukaryota, Metazoa, Chordata, Mammalia, Artiodactyla, Cervidae.